RNAcentral lists this ribosomal RNA (505 nucleotides) under uncultured bacterium. RNAcentral describes it as "bacterial SSU rRNA". It matches the Rfam family "Bacterial small subunit ribosomal RNA", at positions 29 to 525 of the family's 1533-position model. The record is from RNAcentral.
AUUGAACGCUGGCGGCAUGCGUAACACAUGCAAGUCGAACGGUGUUUGGUGCUUGCACCAGGACAUAGUGGCGGACGGGUGAGUAAUGCGUAGGAAUCUGUCUUAGAGAGGGGGACAACCCGAGGAAAACUUGGGCUAAAACCGCAUAUUCUCGAGAGAGGAAAGCAGGGGACCGGAAACGGGCCUUGUGCUCUAAGGUGAGCCUACGUCGGAUUAGCUAGUUGGUAGGGUAAAAGCCUACCAAGGCGAUGAUCUGUAGCUGGUCUGAGAGGACGGACAGCCACACUGGGACUGAGACACGGCCCAGACUCCUACGGGAGGCAGCAGUGGGGAAUAUUGGACAAUGGGGGAACCCUGAUCCAGCGAUGCCGCGUGUGUGAAGAAGGCCUGCGGGUUGUAAAGCACUUUCAGUGGGAAAGAGAAGCGUCUUGUGAAUAAUGGGACGUGGAGACGUUACUCACAGAAGAAGCACCGGCUAAACUCUGUGCCAGCAGCCGCGGUAAUC